AGAGUUUGUCCUGGCUCAGCCUGAACGCUGGCGGCGUGGCUAAGACAUGCAAGUCGUACGGGUGUAGCAAUACACCAGUGGCGGACGGGUGAGUAAUGAAUCGCUAAUGUACCCCGGACUCUGGAUAGCCGGCCGAAAGGCCGGGUAAUACCAGAUAAUAUACCCGAUAGGCAUCUGUUGGGUCUCAAAGGGAAACCGGUCUGGGCGCAGGCGAUUUCGUAUCAGGUAGUUGGUGCGGGUAACGGCCCACCAAGCCGACGACGCGUAGCUGGUCUGAGAGGACGGCCAGCCACAUUGGGACUGAGACACUGCCCAGACUCCUACGGGGGGCUGCAGUAACGAAUCUUCCGCAAUGCACGCAAGUGUGACGGAGCGACGCCGCGUGGAGGUUAAGUCCUUCGGGAUGUAAACUCCUGUCAGGGGUUACCAAGUCUGAGAGCCCCAGAGAGCCG
This 452-nucleotide ribosomal RNA is filed under the name uncultured soil bacterium. RNAcentral's name for it is "bacterial SSU rRNA". It matches the Rfam family "Bacterial small subunit ribosomal RNA", at positions 8 to 478 of the family's 1533-position model. The record is from RNAcentral.